RNAcentral lists this ribosomal RNA (85 nucleotides) under Peromyscus maniculatus bairdii (prairie deer mouse). Lineage: Eukaryota; Metazoa; Chordata; Mammalia; Rodentia; Cricetidae. The record is from RNAcentral.
AUCUAUGGCCAUAGAACCCUGAAUGUUCCUCAACCCAUCAUCUCAGAAGCUAAGCAGGAUGGGGCAUGGUUAGUGCUGCCAGGUA